Molecule: non-coding RNA, 4888 nt
Organism: Rattus norvegicus (Norway rat)
Lineage: Eukaryota; Metazoa; Chordata; Mammalia; Rodentia; Muridae
Source: RefSeq, a predicted model, not a curated record
GGGGAGAUAUCGGGUUUCUGGAAGUGAAACUGGGAAAGGGGAUAACAUUUGAAAUGUACGUAAAAAAUAUCCAAUAAAAGGAAUACAUUUUUAAAAAUAUAUUCUUUACUAACCAAGAAGGAUGAGCUUUAAGAGGGUUCACUUUCUUCAUCUGUCACCUCCCUGAUUAUCCUAGAUCCACUCCAGGAUGCUUUCCAGGGCUCCUAACGCAUCUUUAGCAGGUUCCUGUCAUAGAAUCAGUCCAUGCUAUACAGACUUGCCUCGGAGGUUCUCCUUUAUGGAUUUGAAACACUGUCCAUUCCAUGUGCCAUUUUAAGUCAUUAGGCCACUCUGAGGCCAUCACUGGUCUGAAGGGCACUGAAACCAUAUCAGUGGCUUCUAUUACUUUCUCUGAGCUUAAAAUUGAUAUAGAUAGUGCACACUCGGGGCUUUGUGUCGUGCCAGAGACAAUGGAGACUGCUUUUAAUUUUGAUCCCUCUUUUCUCUGUUCAGUCCAUGACGGUGUUAGAACCUUCAGUGUCCCUGCCUUCCUGUAUCUUGGGUGUCCACAUUACCUGAUUGUUGAUGAACCUACAUGAUGAAGGUUGCUCAUGUUCUGGGUUUCCUGUUCCUGUCUUAGGUCAGUUUCCCUUUUCUCCACGUUCAUCUUCCUUUCCAUUUCCACGGUUCUGCUUAAGUGUUAGCCCCUUGAACUUGAGCACAGGAGUCCCAGGUUUUAUGGGAGGGAGAAUACUGAAGCAGGAUUCUGAGGAUGGGGUAAGUUGGAUGCUGUACAGAGUAGACUGGAUGCUGCAUCUGCUAAUCUAAUCAUAGACAUGCUUGGAGGACAAAGGGGCUUUAUGUCAGUUUGUGAGGGAGGGGAGAGAGAGAGAGAGCAAGGAGAGAGAGAGAGAGAGAGAGAGAGAGAGAGAGAGAGAGAGAGGCGUUUAAGCUAUUAAACUAUUAGGAUUUUGGGACUGACUAAUCUUUCUGGUUUCUUCUGUGAACUGUAACUAAUUGACAGUUAACCAUUCUAGACUCUGCUUCUAGAACUCUGAGUCCUAUUCGCAAGACAAGUAGCUAUGAAGAGCAAGACAAAGUGUCCCCCAUCAGCAAAUUAAAAUGUCAGAGUCACGGUUUAAACAGCAAGACACGUGUGGGGCAUGCCCACGAAGUCGACAAAUUCAAACAACUUUAGUCUUCUUCCUCAGCUCCUUCCUCCUCAUGGUGGUGCACUGAAGUCUUGCUGUAAUUGCACGAAGAGUGCCACUGUGUGGGGGAGCAUUCUGGAAGAGGCUGGGAGAAGGCAGGGGAGCCAGGCAGGCAGAGUGGUUCCUGCCCUCAGGGAGCUUUGACGCUGUAGCCAGAAGCUUUGAUUGUGUUCUAAGAAUUCUCUUUGCAGGCUCCUGGCUGCAUUAGGAGGAACUCGAAAGCUGAUUUAAAAUAAUUUCCUACCAAGGGAACAGAGUGGGAAUCCGGAUGGAUGGAGAAUUGUUAAUUUGACAUUUAAGAUUGAGGGACAAGUGGGUAUUUGUCUCAUCCCCUCGGGUUUUUUUUCUCCGUGGGAGAGAAGCAGCCAGCCUCACUGAUUGUCAAGUGUUAAUGGGAACCCUUCCAUUUUUCCCUAUUGAAAACAUGUAAUUUAAUGUGAAGCUUCUAUUGGUGGGCCGUGAGCAGGCAGAAUUCUCAGGAUAAUGAACUUGAUUUUCCACUUGAAAUGCAAUCCGCAUUCACGAAUUAUCUUUUUAUAAGGGAGACAUGGAGCAAAGUGGCUCACCCAUACAUCUCAGUUGACCUCACAAACACCUCUGAAGAGAGCGUCAUUACCUAUCUUUUAUAGACAACAAGGGGAAAUGGUAGCCUGGGGCUCUGGACUGUGCCAGUUCACUUCUGGUAGAUGAACAACUUGUUAUUUCGUUUCCCUUGGUCGAAUUGUUAUAAACAUUGCAACAUUAACACCUGCAUGACAUUUGCACGACUCAGCGCUUCGCAGCCUGGUCACGUGUCUUCUGUGGCUACUCUGCUAACCCUGUGUGCUUCAUCUGUAACAAUGGGUAAGCCCAGAUCUCUGCAGCCCAGCUUGCUUUUGUCCUAGACUAAAUCGAUAGCAAUCCAGCCUCCAGAAGUCUAAUCUAUUUCUUUAUUUGCAGAGUCUCUCUGGGGUGACACCCUUGGCCAGAGAAGACAACACUGGCACUCUCCUGUCAGAGUCCGAAAGCUCAAGAUGUAGAUGCUGUUACCACCUUGCCUGGGGCUUCCUGCUACUUGGCUGUCUUGAGUCAACAAUAGCCAAGGGGACAGAAGAAAGAGAGAAAAGUUAUAUCUAUAUGUUUGAACACAGGUUUGAUCCCUAAUGGAAUGGACGCUGGAGAUGAGGCAAACACAGCCCAGAGAGAACCACCAUUGUGACGCAUUAGAGAAGCACCCAUGACGAUCAAUCACUGCUGAUGGCCUGGACCGCCAGCAUCAAUACUCUAGCACUCUGGAGACUUGGAAAGUAAAACAAAGGUUGCUUGAACGCAAACACUCUGCCACAGCGUUUUAUCUGAUAGUGGGGGUGCGCGCUCCACUCAGUGACUGACAGGCAAGUAACAUAUACAGUGUGCACACGUUGGAUGGAGGGACAUAUCCCACAACCGGAUGGAGCCAGUGAAUGAUACGAGGACAUGAUUGCCCUAAGGUAUGGCUGAGGAGAAGGUUUUAAUGUAGACGUGAGGCAGAGUACGGCCAGAGGCAUCUGGGAGAGUUCAGAUCAAACCAGGCCAUAAGAGGAAAAAACAAGGGGUGGAGGUGAGAGGGAAAAAGAAGAGUGGGGACAAUCAGACUAAGAGAACCAAGAGCAAGUCAAGAGAGACAGAACAACCAAGAGGGGCUGAAAUGCCAGGGUUCUAUAGGAGAGAGAAGCUGGCAGGGAAGGGAGUCAAGCCCCAGGACUAUAGAGGUUUAGGGUAGCGGUAUAGUGAGAAGAGCUGAGAAGAGCCAAGACUCUGUAACUGGGACUUACAAUACUGAGAGAACCCAGAGGUCAGCAUGUGCUUUGGUUUGCUGCCAUUUGUCCCUGAGUUUCUCUGGGACCUGACAGCCAGGUAGGCUGAGGUUUUAUUACACUACUCACCAUGAUGAACAAUUUAGAACUCAUCAAUUAUUCAUGUCUGGGAUUUUUCCAUUUAACAUUUUGUGCAGCAAGUUGUGUAGGUAAGUAAAUCAUGGACAACAGAACUCCGGAGGCUGCAGCGGGAGAACUCCUGAGUGCCUAUUAAAUGACUUGGUUCUGGUUCCAAUGGCGGAGGUUCUGAAGUGGGCACUGCCAGCACCUACUGAAUUCUUACCAGCUCCGAGCGACUCUAACGUGGGUGUUCUCAGAACCACAUUUUGAGAAACAGUCCUCCGUAUUGACAUAAUUGGCAGCAUCCUUCCUUUAAACACUUCCCUUUGGUUGCUAUGAUACACCCCUCCUCCCCAAGUUCUGUGGGCUCUCUAAUUCUGUUCUCCAUCUCCCACUUCCUCUCCAGCCUGUACCACUGUCCCCAGACUCUCUGCUCCUUCCUCCGCUGUCUGUCCCCUGGGGCAUGGCUCCAACUUGGGCAGAUGGUCCAACCUUGCCCUGGUGAGUGCCAGCCUCCUGGUGAGAUCCGUGGAUUUUGGAACAGAGUUGUACUUCAUUCAGCCUGGGUCCAGGACUUAGCUGUGAAGAAGGUGAUAUUGACGCUGCUGCUCCAAUCACCCCCACCCUGCUCUGGGCCUUUCCUCUUCCAUUAAGAUCUCCUGCUUUGCAGUUUUCUAAUCAAAUUAGUUCCGAGGGAAGAGCUGAUCUGUUUACACGGUCACACUAAUGUGCCAACUCUCCCAGUCACUGGCAUUUGCAAAGCCUUUUUCCGUCUUUGUGGUUUCAACCCUGUUAUUUCAGGCUUCCCUUAGCAGAUAGGGUGAUUCAGAAGGGCACGACCAAGGGAUAGGGCGAGCUGAUUUGAGAAGGGCUGGCUCUUCUCUUCUUCGACAUUUCUAGGAGCGUAGACUGAAAACUAGCCUGUCAAACGGCUGGGAGGGCAGGACUUGGACCUUCUAGGUCUUGGGCAAGGAUAAGCAAUAACUGCAGUCACAAUAGGCCAGACCCUAGAAGCACGGAGGAUAAGGACAGACUACAGAGCUGCAAUUGGGCUUACUUCCUGCCACGCCUACCCAUGGCCACGCCUACCCAUAGCCACUCCUACCCAUAUACUUCUAAGAGCUCCUCUUCACUGGUCAGGUCUCAUCUUAAAAGUUCUCUCUUGGGAAUAAAUAGCCUGACCUGGCCGCCAGGUUGUGGUCCCUUUUUGUGAUCCUGUGUUAGCAACCGCUUGCCUUUGUUGUAUUUAUCACAGGUUGUAAUUAUUUGAUUUCCUUCUUCCUGUCUCCUUCUGGAGUUAAGUAAGGCUCCAGGCGGGUGAGACCAGGCUGCCUCACACCCCUUCUAUGCAGGUUCAAAACAGAGAUCAACAGGAAGCCGGAAGGACAGCAUGAACAAGCCCUACCACCCUGCAGUCCCCGAGCUGAAGCAAACUGUCCUCAAUAGGCAUGUGGUGCAGAAAGGCAGAAAACUGACAGUAAUAUAAAUGAUUCUUGUAUGUAAAACUGCCAAUAGAUGUUUGCCCAGUAGAGGGGGCAAUUGGCGCUUUUCCUGCGACUAUCAAGAUCUGAAUGCGCCAUAGUUUUCCUGAGGUCCCGUGUGCUCUUAGAAUUCUCCUUUGAGCCAGUCAGAACAUCUUACUGACUGCCUCAUUAGUUGGUAAAAUAACAUCUCUGACAAUCUCUGACAUAUUAGUUUCAUAUUUGUACCUGAGUCAAAUGUUUAGCUUCUUAAAAAUAUUUUUUUCAUUCGAACUUCAUGGAAACCAAGUAUUUUGUGCAUCAAAAGAUACUAUCAGGAAAA